CCUUAUCUAGUUUUAGGGGAUUGGAAGAGUUGGGGGAAAAGGAUGGAAGAAAGAAGAACCCAUAAAGUAGCAAAGAUAAGCUACACCUGUGUAAUCCAGUACAAGUUUCUAGAAAAACAUGAAAGGGGAGAUGUAGGAUUCAUUACAAGGUGAGCAAGCAACACAGGAAGCAGAUGAGUGGUUGUCCAUCUGAAAUUACCGAUCUUGCAGCUGGCUCACUGUUAGGUUCUCCCUGUGCUCACUAACAGACUGUUGAAUGAACAUGGGCAAAGGAAAGCAAGCAAUAAAGAUUGGGAAAGAGGGCUUGAUUACUACACAAGAACCACCGAGCAGACAAAGUGUUUUCUUCUAUGGGCAGUGAACUGAGGAAGAAGAACAUAAUGAAUAUUGUAUAAUGACUGACCAGUGGCUCAGAACAAGACCAGCUUUCUGUUGCUGUGGUAGGUGCUGUAACACAAAGGAACCAGGAAGAAUGGGCUCAUCUGGCUUACUCAUCCCCAGCACAGUCCCUCAAUGAGGGAUGGUAGGAUAAGAACUCAAGCAGGAACCUGGAGGCUAGGCCAAAGCACUGCUGCAGACUUUUAUCUGCUUGAUUAAGUCAAAGUCUUCACACCUGUAAGCCUCAGAGGAUGGUAAGAAGAGGAGAAACUUCAGACACAACUCACUCUGGUACGCUUG
This 678-nucleotide long non-coding RNA is filed under the name Rattus norvegicus (Norway rat). RNAcentral's name for it is "long non-coding RNA NONRATT003082". Lineage: Eukaryota; Metazoa; Chordata; Mammalia; Rodentia; Muridae. The record is from RNAcentral.